Molecule: non-coding RNA, 21 nt
Filed under: Caenorhabditis elegans
Lineage: Eukaryota; Metazoa; Nematoda; Chromadorea; Rhabditida; Rhabditidae
Source: RNAcentral
UGUGAAGCGAACAACAAAUUG